GACGAACGCUGGCGGCGUGCUUAACACAUGCAAGUCGAACGGAAAGGCCCCUUCGGGGGUACUCGAGUGGCGAACGGGUGAGUAACACGUGAGUAACCUGCCCUUGACUUCGGGAUAACUUCAGGAAACUGGGGCUAAUACCGGAUAGGAAUCCUUGCUGCAUGGUGGGGGUUGGAACGCUUCGGCGGUUUUGGAUGGACUCGCGGCUUAUCAGCUUGUUGGUGGGGUAGUGGCUUACCAAGGCUUUGACGGGUAGCCGGCCUGAGAGGGCGACCGGCCACAUUGGGACUGAGAUACGGCCCAGACUCCGACGGGAGGCAGCAGUGGGGAAUAUUGCACAAGGGGCGGAAGCCGGAUGCAGCAACGCCGCGGGCGGGAUGACGGCCUUCGGGUUGUAAACCGCUUUCAGCAGGGGCGAAGCUUGUGGUGACGGUACCUGCAGAAGAAGCACCGGCUAACUACGUG
RNAcentral lists this ribosomal RNA (465 nucleotides) under uncultured bacterium. Its description in RNAcentral is "partial 16S ribosomal RNA". It matches the Rfam family "Bacterial small subunit ribosomal RNA", at positions 28 to 507 of the family's 1533-position model. The record is from RNAcentral.